Long non-coding RNA from Dromaius novaehollandiae (emu), 2877 nucleotides. RefSeq lists it as uncharacterized. Lineage: Eukaryota; Metazoa; Chordata; Aves; Casuariiformes; Dromaiidae. The transcript has 6 exons. The record is from RefSeq and is a predicted model, not a curated record.
UUGCAGCUGAACCGAAACACUCAAGUUUCUGGGGCACUGAUGCUUGACGGCUCAGAAAGAGCGAUCCCCCAGCACGAGCCUGCCGAGCUGUUCUGCGCUGUGCACUGAAAGGGGCAGGAGGCAGCACAGCGGAGCUGCUGAUUAAUGACAACAGCCAUGGAGGAUUUUCCUAUUAUGCCAAGCGUCGGAGGGAAACAGGUACACUGCGUACAAGAGGCCAUUCUGAGAGGGCACAAUAUUACGCCAUGUAGCAGUAGACUUCUCCUCAUGCUUUGGAUAAGCUAAAUGAGAUUACUAGCUUUGUCACAGAGGACCCAUAAAUCUUACUAUAAGAGAUUAAUUCCCAAGGAGAGAACACUUCACUGAAAUCCGCAACUUCUCCCUUAUGUGGCUCUUCCUCAAAAUUUUUGGUCAGUGGUAAGAGACUCAAUCACUUUUGCAACUGACAGCAAAAGGCAACAGCAAACUUUCUCCGGGCAUUGCUGCUGGGAAUGAAUUUCUGGCCUGAUGUUUCAGGGAUUUCACAUUCAGAUUCACUAGCAGCUUUGAUCUUUCUGGGGGAAUCACACCUAUCUUGCGCUCUAUCCCUACGCUGUGUCAAGGACAGAAGGGGUAUGCGACUGCAACGUCACCGACGUGAACUUUACGUGGCCUUAUUGGUACAACAGGAAGCAACAGAAGAUGUUCCUCAUUUACAUAAAGCUCCAAUCAUGAGUCAUCUCUAUCUUCUACAGCUCCGCUUGUCACUCUGACGAGUCUCUGGACGCAUCCUCUCUCUCUCUCCAUCUCUCUUAAUAUAUGCUAAAACAUAUAUUAAGAGAGAUGCCAACCCUUAAAGAAGAUGAUUACCAGUUUGGAAUAUCUGUUUGGCCAAAUGGCAACUUCAGCUGAAAUCAGCCUCGAGGGCAGAUGCUAAAUUGGAUUCCAGGUCAUCUGAAGCUGGGCAUCCAAAACUGACUCCAGAGGCCAGAUCCUGGUGAAUCAAAUGCUAACAAUGACAUUUCAGGAGUGUGGAGUGCAUAGACCGCAGAUGAAAUCAAUAGAAGGCCAGAGCCAAUCUCUUCUGUCUUUGUUCAUUAGAGGGUUAAAAAAAACUCUUUUAAAAAGAUCUUCUCCAGCCACUCCCUGACUUCUGCAACACAUGCGUUAGCACUGAGAAAACCUCAGUCAUCAUAGGACUGGCAAAGGACCAAGCAAGAGUCAUGAAAACUCAAGUGUCAGUCACAGAACAGGCCACAUGCUAGCAACUCACAGAAGAAGCAAUUAUGAAUCCAUGUCCUUCCUAUGAAAAAGAUGGAAAAAGACUCUAUCUCUUGCCUGAAAAGUCCCACUGGGCUUACUGAUUUCCCUGAACACUAUACAAUAUCUAGAGGAAACCACUGAGAAAGCUGAUAAGGCAGCAUGGACUAGCAUGCCAAAAGUGAGGUGCUAUUCAACAUCUCACACACGCGGCCAGUUCCAAUGGCUCAAAUGAUGGGUGAGAACUUGCUAAGCUGCAAUAACUUGACUGGAUAUCCACAAAUUGCUGAAGUAGGAUUUGGCAAGUCUUCCAACAAAGCUUCUAGUACCUUCUUUGAAAAAUUCCUCCUUGAUAAAGGUUUGGGUUGUUUAACUUGUUCCCUGCCUAUGGGUCUUUGUGAUGACCCAGUGCUAUUGAAUACUCAGAUAGUCAUUCUGUUGAAAAAUGCCAGGUGUCAUGUAUUGCUGCCAUUCCCUCCUGCUAGACACAGACCUGAUCACAGGCUGACCAUACACUCAAGAGGCCCAGGCUGGCUUCCACAACUCAUAUCUAGGAAGAAGCUGCUCAUUUUGAGAAGGUCAUUCUUAAUGCAGCAAGCCAGGCACUCAGCAUCACUAGUCCCUGCCUAGCUUUCCACGCUGACUCCCCACUGAGAGCAUGCCAGUGCAAGAUCUCUGGGAGAAAUCCAAAAUAACACUCAGGCACUGAAGUGCAACUUAUGCAGACUGCUGGCGCCUAUGCUCCUGACAGCAACCCAGGAAAGCUCUGCCUCCCCCAUCCCAGCUAUGUCAGAUGCUGUAAGUGCCUACGGUUUCUGACAACAGCUUCUUCAGGCGCCAAAAGGUCUAAUGCCUCUUUGUGCUCAGAAGUCCUGCUCCUCCGACCAGGCUGAAUUCAGGCAGCUACUUCUUGCUUAGGCCUAUCCAGAAAGCAGCUUCCUGAACUACAGCAAACACUGAUCAAUAGAGGGACGGCUACGAAAGCAUGAGGAUGUAAGUGAAUUGGAUCAAAUUGGAAAGCUGUCCUGGCGUUGCUCGGAGUCCAUUAGUUUCUUCAGAGUUUAAGAAGACAGAAUGGAAAGAUGUGGAUCUCUAAGGAUGGAGAUGAUUACAGUGGCAAAAAGAGGAAGAAGAAAGUUGUAGAAUCAAUUAGGAAAGCAGCACAUUUAGAAUGCUGUAAUCCCUCUUUCUCUUGCCUUACUUUUUGACUAAAAAGACAAAAAUAGUUGUAUUUUGUUCCUGCACUGUAAUUUAACAUGCAUUGUAUGUGAGUGACAUGACUUUAUUCCUUAAUACAGCCGUGAUCACGGUCUAUCUGCAGAAAAAAAGACCCUGACUGAUGCCAUUAGCUGGAGACAUUAUUAAGGGAACCUGCGGUGCAGGAUGAUGUACGGAAUAGCGUGGGAUUAGCGAGGUGCAUUGCAUUAAACCUGGCAGGGAUGAAGUCAGAUGAAAGCAUUAGCAUCUUCAAGCAAAGAGGCAAGACAGCACAUCAAAGGAACUCAAGUGACUGGCGAAAUGCCUUGCCUGCAGAACGGAGAGCUUUUUCUUAUUUUAAUUCUUUGGCCUCCAAUAAAACUGCCAAGAGAUUUUCAAGAGAAAGAGCCACACUGAGACCAAAGUUGUUCAUCCUCUACC